This 1023-nucleotide long non-coding RNA is filed under the name Parus major (Great Tit). RNAcentral describes it as "lncRNA (ENSPMJG00000012314.1)". Lineage: Eukaryota; Metazoa; Chordata; Aves; Passeriformes; Paridae. The record is from RNAcentral.
CUCUGUUUAAUUAGUGAGAUGAUUCAUGUUUUCAAUCACAGUUUAUAGCAGGCCCUUUACAGUCAGCCAUAAAGCAGGAGACCGCAGGUCUGCCAGGCCCUCAGGAGCAGCCCAUCUGUGCUCCCUGCGGUGCAGGCACGGCUCCCACAGCUCUGCAGGGAUGGGGUCACCGUGCCAAGGGCCCAGCUGGACCCCAGCACCUGCAGACCUUCACCAGAGCCACCCCUGACCCCUUCCCCGUGGGUCUGAGGCACGGCAGAGCCAGACACCCCCUCCCCUCCCUUCUCCGCCGUGCCCCGGGCCCAGCAUCAGCUCCAGCAGGGAAUUCUCUCGGCUCCCCACUCAGCCCUGGGCUGCUCCCGGCCCGAGCUUGGCUCUGCAGGCCCCGUGUGCCGGCUCCAGCUGCUCCCCACAGCCCUGGGGCUGCCAAGGGCCCUGCCAGGUGCCACUGCUGGCCCUUGGUGGCCGCUGGGCUCCCAGGUGGAGGAGCAGGGGGAGGCUGGCUGCCCCCCUGUGAUUUUCCCAGUGAGAUGAUAAUCAGGGACACCCUGGGACUGGAGGGCUGGGCAGAGUGCUCUGAGCACCCCCAAACCGAGCAGAUGCUGCUGGAUGAGCUCCCCCGAGCUCCCACGGCCGUGGGAGUCACUGCAAUCCUGCCGGGGGUCCUGGGGAGGCCGGCCACGACAAAACAAAUCUUUGGCCCUAAAUCCCCUCUGAAGUGGGGGAAAAGGCUCUUGCAAGCUUGACAAAGGCAGGGUGAGGCAAUGGCAUGCUGAGGCAGUGCCCAGAAACAGGGCACUGCUGUGGAGCAGGGCCUGGCCCGUGGGGCCAGCUGGGACAGAGACCCAAACCAGCCCUGCCCUCCUCCUGCUCAUCUGGGCUGCAGAGAGAGCCAGCAGGGCACCGAGGCUGCUGGGGCUCCAGCCCUGCACAGGACCAGCAGCCACACUCCCAGCUGGGGCUGGAGCCCUGCACAGGACCUGCAGCCACACUCCCAGCCUGGGCUCCAGCCCUGCACAGGAC